Non-coding RNA from Benincasa hispida (wax gourd), 1356 nucleotides. Lineage: Eukaryota; Viridiplantae; Streptophyta; Magnoliopsida; Cucurbitales; Cucurbitaceae. The record is from RefSeq and is a predicted model, not a curated record.
CCUUCCCAUUUGUGUGUUAUUGCAACUCGACCAACACACCUACAGCCUACAACGACCGACAGUGGUACAACAACCACCAGCAAAAUAUGACGACGGUGCUUGCCCGUCGACGCAUGCAGUACCGGUAACCAUCCCCACACCCAAUGCAACCUACAACCACGAACGGUGUUCACGAAGACCAACCCACGGCGUCGUGACCUUCGAAAACCGUGAAGUAGUUACCCACUGAACACAAGGCAUACUAGCAGUAGCAUUUUCCCCUAUUCGGAUUAAGUGAGUUUGGACACCAAGCAACGAGGUUUUGGGUCAUUUUGGGUCUGAUCCAGUGGAUUUGGAAUGGUUUCAAGAUUAUUUGUACACCUUUUAGCAUGGACGCAAGCCUAUUUGGAUUCAGAACCGUUCGAACACUUUUCAGCAAGAGCCCAAGCCUCUUUUGUCUAGGCUUGAUUCGAAGUGUUCGGAUUGGGAUUCAAGGUCGUUGUAGUGUAGGGUGACGGUCGUCAGAGCAUGUCGCUGAAGUUGGUCAUCGAUGGUGUCUGUUUAGUGGAGUCAUUGGAAACAUUGAAGGGAGGAAGGGAGGAACAGGUACAGAUAGUUUCUCAAUAAAUGUAUAAAUUUCAAUAAUGAAUACUACUGAAAUUGGUGGAAUUGAGUUAUUUAAUACAGACUUAUAAAGUUGAUGGGCUAAACACUAAGUGAGUAAAUUACUCAACUCAACUUAACUCAAGUCAAUGCCCUAAACAACAUCUUAUAAUUUAACAUAACAUUUAAAUUAACAUGUAUAUAUUGUCAGAAAUAUGUCAUAGACAAUAACGACUAAAUAUUCAACAAAAAAAAUAUAUAUAAAAAGAAACAAAACCACUUAUAUUUGAAAAACUCAACAAACAUGGUGCACAAUUUUAUUUUAACAUUCUUUAUGUUCUCUUCCUCGCACAACUGCAUUAAUAAUAUAAAGAUCAAUCUUUAUUUAUAGGAUUUUGAUGGAUAAUUCUAAGAUUCACAACUGCCCCUUCUUAUGACAGUUUUAAUCUCUAGCUCUCAUCAUAAAUACAUAACAUAUAAAUACUCAUACUUAAAUUCAUGAACAUCAUAUUUCAUGAAUGUAUAUCUAACUCUGUAAUACAUGAAUUUAUCAACUCGCAUCCACUAAUAUACUAAAUUCUUAAAUCUAUUUAAUCAACUCUUGAUUCAUGUAUAAUUUAUCUAGAAUUAAAAUAUGUACCUUUUUUUCUUUAAAAAGUAUGUUUAAUCUUUAACUAUAUUCAUAUCUCAAUUUAACUACGUUCACAUCUCAAUUUUAUAAAAAUAUCGAUGAAAUAUCGAAUUCAAUAAAUUUAUGAAAAACUAUAAAAACAA